This 330-nucleotide telomerase RNA is filed under the name Paramormyrops kingsleyae. Its description in RNAcentral is "Vertebrate telomerase RNA (ENSPKIG00000021771.1)". It matches the Rfam family "Vertebrate telomerase RNA". From Rfam's summary of the family: Telomerase is a ribonucleoprotein reverse transcriptase that synthesises telomeric DNA. Telomerase RNAs differ greatly in sequence and structure between vertebrates, ciliates and yeasts, but they share a 5' pseudoknot structure close to the template sequence. Vertebrate telomerase RNAs have a 3' H/ACA snoRNA-like domain. The record is from RNAcentral. Lineage: Eukaryota; Metazoa; Chordata; Actinopteri; Osteoglossiformes; Mormyridae.
UAUUUGGCAGAGUGCUUCGUCUAACCCUAAAUUUUGGUCGCUUUCUAUACAGAUGUUUGCUGUUUUGUCUCUAGCUUUCAGUAAACUAUAGAAAGACGAAACGCCGUUGCCGAAAAGGUGGGAAAAAAGUCUAGAGGCUACUCUGCCAAGCUCAAUCUCCUAAGUAAUGCGUCUGGCCGUGGUCAGCUUGGCUGCCGCGAAGAGUUCGUCUCUGUUGCUCCGCGUUUAUUUCCGGGAGAUCUUAAAAAAUUGAGCAGAUUAAACUGAACCUGGCUUUGCUUUGAGGGUCUUUGAUCGUGGGCCUCCAAGAAAGCCGGCGUUCAAACAUUU